This 651-nucleotide long non-coding RNA is filed under the name Nicotiana benthamiana. Its description in RNAcentral is "long non-coding RNA (NBEN_LNC041637)". Lineage: Eukaryota; Viridiplantae; Streptophyta; Magnoliopsida; Solanales; Solanaceae. The record is from RNAcentral.
UAGGGGCAAGCUUAUGGUGUAUCUGUGUGGCAUAUGAAUGCUCUUUGCUGAGAGUGAGUGAAUUCUUUCUAUUUUUGGUUCCUUGUGUUGAACUUUUUUUAUGUGUGUGGAACUUCUCUCAGAUUUUUUAUGUGAGGGCAUGUGACUUAGGAAGGAAAAGUAAGUCUUCACCGCUGUUAGAGUAACUAGAGUGAGCUUGAGUGUGUCAUAGCAGUAGAGUCUGCAUCUUGGGUAGGAUUGUUGCACUACUUAGGUUGGUUCGCCAAAAUGGCGUGCGGACAUACUUUGGGAAAUGCAGCAACAGUUAGGCCUAGAAGUGUGGUUUAGCUUGCUCGAGGACGAGCAAAGGUUUACAUGUGGGAUGUUGAUAAUAGGUGAAUUUAACUAUAUUCAGGCACUAAAUAAUCACCUUCUUGCAUAGUUUUGGUAAUGAAAGUGAUAACAAAAUGCUCUUAUUGGUGCUUUUCAUGAUUUGUAGGCUAUAUAUGACUAAGGAAGGCUAUGGAGUACUUUUGGAGUCAAAAAUAAAGAAAAAGAAGCCAACUUUGAAAUAUCCCAAGCGAACCACGCAAAAACAGGCUGAAGAAUCAGAGAACUGAUUCUGUCGCAGUUUCACUGCGACCGCUGCAGAACCGCAAUGAGAGAGUGCUG